Molecule: small nuclear RNA, 105 nt
Organism: Octopus sinensis (East Asian common octopus)
Lineage: Eukaryota; Metazoa; Mollusca; Cephalopoda; Octopoda; Octopodidae
Source: RefSeq, a predicted model, not a curated record
GUUAGCUUGGGCAAUACAUAUACUGAAAUUGGAACGAUAUGGAGAAGAUUAGCAUGGCCCCUGCGUAAGGAUGACACGCAAAUUCGUGAAGCGUUCCAUACUCUC